GUUUGAUCAUGGCUCAGGACGAACGCUGGCGGCGUGCUUAACACAUGCAAGUCGCACGGGACCCGCAAGGGUUCAGUGGCGAACGGGUGCGUAACACGUGAGGAACUUGCCCAUCGGCGGGGGAUAGCCGGCCCAACGGCCGGGUAAUACCGCGUACGACCUUCGGGGGGCAUCCCCUGGAGGUGAAAGCAGCAAUGCACCGAUGGAGAGCCUCGCGGCCUAUCAGCUAGUUGGUGAGGUAAUGGCUCACCAAGGCGACGACGGGUAGCUGGUCUGAGAGGAUGAUCAGCCACAUUGGGACUGAGACACGGCCCAGACUCCUACGGGAGGCAGCAGUGGGGAAUCUUGCGCAAUGGGCGAAAGCCUGACGCAGCGACGCCGCGUGCGGGAUGACGGCCUUCGGGUUGUAAACCGCUGUCGGGAGGGACGAAGCUCUGACGGUACCUUCAAAGGAAGCACCGGCUAACUCUGUGCCAGCAGCCGCGGUAAUACAGAGGGUGCGAGCGUUGUCCGGAACCACUGGGCGUAAAGGGCGCGUAGGCGGCCCGGUAAGUCGGAGGUGAAACGCUGCGGCUCAACCGCAGCACUGCCUUCGAGACUGCCAGGCUUGAGCACGGUAGAGGCUGGUGGAAUUCCCGGUGUAGCGGUGGAAUGCGUAGAGAUCGGGAAGAACAUCGGUGGCGAAGGCGGCCAGCUGGGCCGUUGCUGACGCUGAGGCGCGACAGCGUGGGGAGCAAACAGGAUUAGAUACCCUGGUAGUCCACGCCGUAAACGAUGGGUACUAGGCGUCGGGGGGAGCGACCCCCUCGGUGCCGUCGCUAACGCAGUAAGUACCCCGCCUGGGGAGUACGGUCGCAAGACUGAAACUCAAAGGAAUUGA
RNAcentral lists this ribosomal RNA (880 nucleotides) under uncultured bacterium. Its description in RNAcentral is "bacterial SSU rRNA". It matches the Rfam family "Bacterial small subunit ribosomal RNA", at positions 11 to 913 of the family's 1533-position model. The record is from RNAcentral.